AGUUUAAAAAUAUAGCUUGGCUUAGCUAAAAAUAUAUUAUUUAAAAAAAAUACCUAGGAAUUUUGGGUUUUUAGUAAUGAAUUCAAAAUUGACAUCGAAAAAGGUCAAGACUGUUGACGUUGAAGAUGACGUCACGCCUCGCAAAACAUUCGUGGUUGUUUAUGACGGUCAAUUGAUUUUAAUAAGAAAUAAUGAAUAAAAUACAACGAUAAAAACACCGAAUAAAUUAUUCAUAUAUGUUCCUAAUAAUAAGCGAAUACGUAAAAAGUGGUAAGAAAUAGCAAGGAGGCAAGAUGCUUCUAAUAUAUCAAGUGACUCAACACUUUAUUUCAAUGAAGAACAUUUUGAUGUAAGUAUUAAGCCAAGUUAAUGUAUCUAUUGGUAAAUAUAAAGUAAAAGUAAUGAAUUUAGCAAAAUCUACCAUAUAAAAGCAUACCUUUAUAGGUUAUGUAACCAUAAGUUAUAAAAUGAUAGGACUUGAAUAUGUUUGUGUUAUUUUUUAAAAUUUAUAACAUUAUUUUUGUUUUAAAAAAUGAAAUAAUUUAUACUUUUUGUAUUGUUUUAGUUCCCAAACAAUAUGUAUAAGUAUAUGGAGUAUCGUAUUAUGGGAAAAUCUCUCAAGUACGCAUGAAGCCAGAUUGUAUACCAAAGAAAUUCGAAUACCAAGAAGAUAGAAAGAAAAGUACAUGCAGCGAUAUCAAACGACCAUAUAUGUUGAAAUAACAAAGAAUGUCAACAAUCACAGAGUAUUUGAAUAAACCAGAAUAAAGUAUGAGUAGUACAUCAAGUUUAUCUAUCAAGGAUACUUCAACAAGUUCAGAUUUUCAAAAAGUUGGAGAGGAUGUACCUGAAGCUUUAUUUGCACUGACAGCGGAUAAAUCUGUUCAAGCAUUAGUAACACACAAUUUCAAAAGUAAAGCUAUCCAAACUAAAAUAAAAGACAGUAUCAUCUUUGAAACCAUUACAAAUAUCUGUCUCCACAUCCCCAUUCAUACCAAUGAAAAUUAUAAAUUUAAGAGCUGUCGGCCUCGGCAAAAUCACAAUAUAUUUAUCAAAGCAGAGCAGUCUGAUAGUGAUGUUUCUUUAUAUGUACCAUCUGCAUCUACCUAUACAUAUACCUAUCUAUCUAAGAUUCAUUAAUAAAAUAAAACAAUUUUAUUUGUAUUUUUAUUUUAGUUCUACACUGUUAUAAAGAAUAAAUAUUGUUUUUCAUAAAUCCAACAAAUCUUUGAUUAUAUUUUCAAUAUAUUUUGGAUCAUAUUGAACCAUUAAUACGUCAACCACUUUAUUUUGGCUGUAAUCAGGAUCAGCCACACAAAAGAAACAAUUUCUCAUUCCAGUUAAACACAUUUGUAUCUGCAUUUGAGUAUAAUACUUUUGUGUGGCUUCACCAUUUUUAAUGUAAUUUUUAUAAGUUUUUACACUAUCACAUAUUUAAAUUAACCCUGUUCGCCGCACCAUAAUAGUUAAAUUUCAAGCUUUGACUUCCACGAGACAGGCUUUGCUUAGUGUGGUGUCAUAGUUAUAUUGUACCAUUGGCUUUGUUUAAGGAAAAUAAAGUUUAUUAUUUAUUAUUAUUAUUAUUAUUAGGGCAUUUAAUUUCAAUUAAGCCAUCUUCCAAUAUGCCAUUAGAGGAACCAGCGAUCAUCAGAUAAUCUCCAUUUAAUAUUAGACCACACUUAUUAAUUUUUUUAUUCAGUUUUACCUCCACAGUUUUCCCUACUUGAGCUUCUAAGAUAUGUCCACGUGUCAUUGAUGGAGUAUCAGGUAUUUUUGCCCCUUAUAUUAGAGACACAAGUGUACCAUCAUUCUUUUUACAGCCGCUAACCUCAAAUGCUCUUGAUGCGGUUAUUCGUCCAUACCGCAGCUCAUGCCAACUUUUUUAUUACAGAUGCAGAUAUCUUUACAUUUUUAAAAAAUUAUCUACACAUUUCUCUUUAUAUUUCCACACAAACUGAUGCAUUGAAACUUAAGGAGUUCACAAUCCUCAAUUUUCCUGUUCUUUCCUUCUUCUAGAAACUUCAAAACAGAUGAGUUUGACAGUAUGAGAAGG
Molecule: long non-coding RNA, 2053 nt
Organism: Galleria mellonella (greater wax moth)
Lineage: Eukaryota; Metazoa; Arthropoda; Insecta; Lepidoptera; Pyralidae
Exons: 2
Source: RefSeq, a predicted model, not a curated record